This is a long non-coding RNA of Juglans microcarpa x Juglans regia, 241 nucleotides long. RefSeq lists it as uncharacterized. The transcript is spliced from 3 exons. The record is from RefSeq and is a predicted model, not a curated record. Lineage: Eukaryota; Viridiplantae; Streptophyta; Magnoliopsida; Fagales; Juglandaceae.
UUCUCUCUCUCUCGCGUCUCUGCCUUUCUCUUCCUUCUUUCUCUUCUUCUAGUUUUUUUUCUUCUUUCUCUUUUUCUUCCCUCUUUCUCUCCUACGGCUAAAAAAGCUUCCAUCUUGUCUCCAGCACGGCACCGCAACAGCUUCUAUCUAGCACGACAAGCAACAUGGUAAAAUUCGAAACCCUAGCCUUGAUUUUCUCUUGAUUUUAUUGUUUGGAUUUGAUUUUAAUUACGGGUUUUUC